UAGGGAAUCUUCGGCAAUGGAGGCAACCCUGACCGAGCAACGCCGCGUGAGUGAAGAAGGUUUUCGGAUCGUAAAGCUCUGUUGUAAGAGAAGAACGUGUGUGAGAGUGGAAAGUCCACACAGUGACGGUAACUUACCAGAAAGGGACGGCUAACUACGUGCCAC
Molecule: ribosomal RNA, 165 nt
Filed under: uncultured bacterium
Lineage: Bacteria
Description: partial 16S rRNA
Rfam family: Bacterial small subunit ribosomal RNA
Source: RNAcentral